This 465-nucleotide ribosomal RNA is filed under the name uncultured bacterium. RNAcentral describes it as "partial 16S ribosomal RNA". It matches the Rfam family "Bacterial small subunit ribosomal RNA", at positions 28 to 507 of the family's 1533-position model. The record is from RNAcentral.
GACGAACGCUGGCGGCGUGCUUAACACAUGCAAGUCGAACGGAAAGGCCCCUUUGGGGGUACUCGAGUGGCGCACGGGUGAGUAACACGUGAGUAACCUGCCCUUGACUUCGGGAUAACUUCAGGAAACUGGGGCUAAUACCGGAUAGGAAUCCUUGCUGCAUGGUGGGGGUUGGAAAGCUUCGGCGGUUUUGGAUGGACUCGCGGCUUAUCAGCUUGUUGGUGGGGUAGUGGAUUACCAAGGCUUUGGCGGGUAGCCGGCCUGAGAGGGCGACCGGCCACAUUGGGACUGAGAUACGGCCCAGACGCCUACGGGAGGCAGCAGUGGGGAAUAUUGCACAAUGGGCGGAAGCCUGAUGCAGAAACGCCGCGUGCGGGAUGACGGCCUUCGGGUUGUAAACCGCUUUCAGCAGGGGCGAAGCUUGUGGUGACGGUACCUGCAGAAGAAGCACCGGCUAACUACGUG